UGGCAAACGGGUGAGUAAUGUAUAGGAAUCUACCUAACAGUAUGGAAUAACCUUGGGAAACCAAAGCUAAUACCAUAUAUUACCAAUUUAUUGGGAAAGAUUUAUCGCUGUUAGAUGAGCCUGUAUCAGAUUAGCUUGUUGGUGGGGUAAUGGCCUACCAAGGCGAUGAUCUGUAGCUGGUCUGAGAGGAUGAUCAGCCACACUGGGACUGCGACACGGCCCAGACUUC
This 229-nucleotide ribosomal RNA is filed under the name uncultured bacterium. RNAcentral's name for it is "partial 16S ribosomal RNA". It matches the Rfam family "Bacterial small subunit ribosomal RNA", at positions 96 to 339 of the family's 1533-position model. The record is from RNAcentral.